GACGAACGCUGGCGGCGUGCUUAACACAUGCAAGUCGAGCGAUGAAAGCCUUAUGAACUAUUCGUAGUGAUUGGGGCCGGAUUAGCGGCGGACGGGUGAGUAACGCGUGAGCAACCUGCCUUAAACAACGGGAUAGCCUCGGGAAACCGGGAUUAAUACCGUAUGAGACCCCGCCUUCACAUGAAGAAGAGGUUAAAGAUUUAUCGGUUUAAGAUGGGCUCGCGUCUGAUUAGCUAGUUGGUGAGAUAAAAGCCCACCAAGGCAACGAUCAGUAACCGGCUUGAGAGAGUGAACGGUCACAUUGGAACUGAGACACGGUCCAAACUCCUACGGGAGGCAGCAGUGGGGAAUAUUGCACAAUGGGGGAAACCCUGAUGCAGCGACGCCGCGUGAGCGAUGAAGGAAUUCGUUUCGUAAAGCUCUGUCCAAGGGGAAGAUAAUGACAGUACCCUUGGAGGAAGCCCCGGCUAAAUACGUGCCAGCAGCCGCAGUAA
RNAcentral lists this ribosomal RNA (494 nucleotides) under uncultured bacterium. RNAcentral describes it as "partial 16S ribosomal RNA". It matches the Rfam family "Bacterial small subunit ribosomal RNA", at positions 28 to 523 of the family's 1533-position model. The record is from RNAcentral.